GAUUCAGCAAUUUGCUCAGGUCCAUUUCCGGCUCCAAACCAUGGUACGAUCUAUGACCACGACCGUACCAGGCAUAGUAGCCCUAACAGAUAUCUAAAGUCACGAUAUUACUUAGCCACGGGUGACCCCUACAUAUAAUGCGAUACCACUCUCAUCAGAGGGUAUGUUGUUAUCCACUUAAAGUGGUCCUCUUACGUCUUUUCAGACCAGAUAAGGGAGGAAAAAACAGAU
Molecule: long non-coding RNA, 231 nt
Filed under: Carica papaya (papaya)
Lineage: Eukaryota; Viridiplantae; Streptophyta; Magnoliopsida; Brassicales; Caricaceae
Description: long non-coding RNA (CPAP_LNC005930)
Source: RNAcentral